This 350-nucleotide ribosomal RNA is filed under the name uncultured Porphyrobacter sp. RNAcentral describes it as "bacterial SSU rRNA". It matches the Rfam family "Bacterial small subunit ribosomal RNA", at positions 1031 to 1382 of the family's 1533-position model. Lineage: Bacteria; Pseudomonadati; Pseudomonadota; Alphaproteobacteria; Sphingomonadales; Erythrobacteraceae. The record is from RNAcentral.
GUGACAGGUGCUGCAUGGCUGUCGUCAGCUCGUGUCGUGAGAUGUUGGGUUUGAGUCCCGCAACGAGCGCAACCCUCGUCCUUAGUUGCCAUCAUUAAGUUGGGCACUUUAAGGAAACUGCCGGUGAUAAGCCGGAGGAAGGUGGGGAUGACGUCAAGUCCUCAUGGCCCUUACAGGCUGGGCUACACACGUGCUACAAUGGCAUCUACAGUGGGCAGCUAUUCCGCAAGGAUGCGCUAAUCUCCAAAAGAUGUCUCAGUUCGGAUUGUCCUCUGCAACUCGAGGGCAUGAAGGCGGAAUCGCUAGUAAUCGCGGAUCAGCAUGCCGCGGUGAAUACGUUCCCAGGCCUU